Long non-coding RNA from Hevea brasiliensis (rubber tree), 535 nucleotides. RefSeq lists it as uncharacterized. The transcript has 2 exons. The record is from RefSeq and is a predicted model, not a curated record. NCBI's taxonomy places the organism in Eukaryota, Viridiplantae, Streptophyta, Magnoliopsida, Malpighiales, Euphorbiaceae.
GCCUUUUGGUGGCAAGCAAAGAGUAGAAAUGGUGGAGACCUUGCUUUGGGGCGCCAUGCUCUUUGGCUUCUAAAAAACCCUUCGCUUCACUGUCUAUCUCUUUCUUUGCCUUUCUUUUUUCCCCCGUGGAAACGUGCAUGCGGGAAUAUAAGAUUAAUUUGCUUGGGUUCUCCACAGAAUGCGCGCACCACACAAAUAUUACAACUGCCUCUCAGGAUAAAGCUUUUAUCCAUACUACUUCUCCUUCAUCUUUUCUUUCAACUGGACUAAUUUGAUUUUCUUUCCGUUCUCACACCUUGACCAUGGUGUUAGCUUUCAGCUUCAUUUCAUUGCUCCAACCAAGGAAGAAAUUUGGGCUUCUGUUUCGUUUCUUCCAUGAGUGGCCAUUCAAUUAUAAGCAACUUGUCUUUCCAAGCUAAGAAUAAUGACAUGGAGGCAUCCAUGCAAGGGGAAUCAAGAGCUCCUGAAUGCAAUUAACUAGUACGGUGUGCAAAUGCUUGAAGUGAAAUGUAAUAAAAUUUUCUUGUUCUACUCA